UACGUAGGGUGCGAGCGUUGUCCGGAAUUACUGGGCGUAAAGAGCUCGUAGGUGGUUUGUCGCGUUGUUCGUGAAAACUCACAGCUUAACUGUGGGCGUGCGGGCGAUACGGGCAGACUGGAGUACUGCAGGGGAGACUGGAAUUCCUGGUGUAGCGGUGGAAUGCGCAGAUAUCAGGAGGAACACCGGUGGCGAAGGCGGGUCUCUGGGCAGUAACUGACGCUGAGGGGCGAAAGCGUGGGGAGCGAACAGG
This 253-nucleotide ribosomal RNA is filed under the name uncultured bacterium. RNAcentral describes it as "partial 16S ribosomal RNA". It matches the Rfam family "Bacterial small subunit ribosomal RNA", at positions 524 to 776 of the family's 1533-position model. The record is from RNAcentral.